RNAcentral lists this transfer RNA (65 nucleotides) under Eysarcoris aeneus. Its description in RNAcentral is "tRNA-His". Lineage: Eukaryota; Metazoa; Arthropoda; Insecta; Hemiptera; Pentatomidae. The record is from RNAcentral.
AUUUAAAUAGUUUAAAUUAGAAUAAUAAUUUGUGGUGUUAUAGGUGAAUAUUAAUUCUUUAGAUC